GGUAAUACCGGCAGCUCGAGUGGUCGUCGCUUUUAUUGGGCCUAAAACGUCCGUAGCCUGUUUGGUAAAUCUGUGGGUAAAUCAACCAGCUUAACUGGUUGAAUUCUGCAGAGACUGCCAGACUAGGGACCGGGAGAGGUGUGGGGUACUCUAGGGGUAGGGGUAAAAUCCUGUCAUCCUUAGAGGACCACCAGUUGCGAAGGCGCCACACUAGAACGGAUCCGACGGUCAGGGACGAAGCCUAGGGGCACGAACCGGAUUAGAUACCCGGGUAGUCCUAGGUGUAAACGCUGUGAACUUGGUGUCGGGAGUCCGCAAUGGGCCCCCGGUGCCGGAGUGAAGAUGUUAAGUUCACUGCCUGGGGAGUACGGUCGCAAGGCUGAGGUAAUACCGGCAGCUCGAGUGGUCGUCGCUUUUAUUGGGCCUAAAACGUCCGUAGCCUGUUUGGUAAAUCUGUGGGUAAAUCAACCAGCUUAACUGGUUGAAUUCUGCAGAGACUGCCAGACUAGGGACCGGGAGAGGUGUGGGGUACUCUAGGGGUAGGGGUAAAAUCCUGUCAUCCUUAGAGGACCACCAGUUGCGAAGGCGCCACACUAGAACGGAUCCGACGGUCAGGGACGAAGCCUAGGGGCACGAACCGGAUUAGAUACCCGGGUAGUCCUAGGUGUAAACGCUGUGAACUUGGUGUCGGGAGUCCGCAAUGGGCCCCCGGUGCCGGAGUGAAGAUGUUAAGUUCACUGCCUGGGGAGUACGGUCGCAAGGCUGA
Molecule: ribosomal RNA, 766 nt
Filed under: uncultured euryarchaeote
Lineage: Archaea; Methanobacteriati; Methanobacteriota
Description: bacterial SSU rRNA
Rfam family: Archaeal small subunit ribosomal RNA (bases 1-415)
Source: RNAcentral